UGUGAGAGAUCACUUGGUGCCUUCGGGAGCGCAGAGACAGGUGCUGCAUGGCUGUCGUCAGCUCGUGUUGUGAAAUGUUGGGUUAAGUCCCGUAACGAGCGCAACCCUUGUCCUUAUUUGCCAGCACGUAAUGGUGGGAACUCUAAGGAGACUGCCGGUGACAAACCGGGGGAAGGUGGGGACGACGUCAAGUCAUCAUGGCCCUUACGAGUAGGGCUACACACGUGCUACAAUGGCCGGUACAAAGGGUUGCGAACUCGCGAGAGUCAGCGAAUCCCUUAAAGCCGGUCUCAGUCCGGAUCGGAGUCUGCAACUCGACUGCGUGAAGCUGGAAUCGCUAGUAAUCGCAUAUCAGCCAUGAUGCGGUGAAUACGUUCCCGGGCCUUGUACACACCGCCCGUCAAGCCAUGGAAGCUGG
RNAcentral lists this ribosomal RNA (418 nucleotides) under uncultured bacterium. Its description in RNAcentral is "bacterial SSU rRNA". It matches the Rfam family "Bacterial small subunit ribosomal RNA", at positions 998 to 1414 of the family's 1533-position model. The record is from RNAcentral.